CUCUUGAGAGUCCCAUGGACUGCAAGAAGAUCAAACCUCUCCAUUCUUAAGGAAACCAGCCCUGAGUUCUCACUGGAAGGACAGAUCCUGAAGCUGAGGCUCCACUACUUUGGCCACCUCAUGAGAAGAGAAGACUCCCUGGAAAUGACCCUGAUGUUGGGAAAGGUGGAGGGCACAAGAAGAAGGGGACGACAGAGGACGAGAUGGUUGGACAGUGUUCUCGAAGCUACCAGCAUGAGUUUGACCAAACUGCGGGAGGCAGUGGAAGAUAAGAGUGCCUGGCAUGCUCUGGUCCAUGGGGUCACAGAGAGUCGGACAUGACUAAACAACAACAACAUCUCAUCCAAAGCCUCCUAAAAAUGCGUGGAGUCUUUCAGGAGGAUUGUAGGAAGAUAUAUAAGGAAGAUAUAUAAGCAAGCAGGCAGAGGAAAGGGAUGAAAUAAACAAACCCAGAGGGUUGUGGGUGGGGCAAAUGCUAUUUGAAUCAAUUUCACCAAGGAAAUGAUCAGAAACAAAAUUUGCAAAUAUUCACAGGUCCCUUGUUUGCAGGCUUCCCUGAGGCAUCUGGUUUCCUAACUGGGUGCCGUAGGAUUGGUUAAACUAGAUUUGCCUGUGACCUCAUCUAGCAGAGACACACAAACACCCGGCGAAAUAAAUGGAAAUUACGGUAAAAGUGUGUAACUCUAGCAGAAUGCUGCUCAUCAUUUAUAUUUAAACUUGUUUAAAUUGAGUCAUUUGUAUUCCUCCUCCAUUUAUUAUUAUUAUUAUUAUUAUUAUUAUUAUUAUUAUUAUUAUUAUUUAUUAUUAUUAUUAUUAAGGCAACUUUCAAGGCUUGUUUUCUCCUGCUCAGGAGAGUAGGACUCAAACCAAAGGCUAAAAGUUACAAGAAGGGAGAUUCUGACAUAGGGGAAAACUUUCUGACAGUAAGAGCUGUCCGACAGUGGAAUGGAUUCCCUCUGGAGGUGGUGGACUCUUUUUCCUUGGAAGCUUUUAAGCAGAGGUUGGAGGGCCAUCUGUCACGGAUGCUUUUGUUUUGUGUUUUGACAUUAGCAGUCUUGUACUUUAAUAACCUGAAAUACUGCAAAAGUGUGCUCCACCCUCCCCCACCCAACCUGGCCUGCACCCCUUGCCAUAGCUGUCAACUUUUCUCUUUUCUUGCGAGGAAUCCUAUUUGGAAUAAGGGAAUUUCCCUUCAAAAAAGCUAUGCCCCUCGCCCCAAUCGUGUCUCCAGCCCCACACCCCAUCCCGUUCUUUCCCAUUUCAAUGGGGCCACCGCAAAGCCGUUCCAAUGAGAAAAUGGAAGAGUAAUGAAAUUCCCUCUAUACAAGAUUGGAUCCAAAAGCUGACAGAAUAUGCAGAAUUAGACGGUCUAUCAGAAAAAAAUAAAGAAUAAAUCGAAACAGGGAAUUGUUUCAAAAUGGGAGGUUUUCAAAGUAUAUUUGAAAUACAAAUAUAGUAGUUUAAACUCGGUUGCAGCAUUCGUGGAACUUCAGUAACAGUUGCAAGGCAGAUAUAACAAUUAAGAUUGUUAAGUUGUGGGUGUACAUAUCAGAAGACACAGCGAUUCUUCAAACAGCUCUUGUUUAUUCACAGGCCAGAACAGAACUGAACUGAAGGGUUCAGCCAGCCUGCUUAUAUAGAGCUCCACUACAAUGCAACAGUACAACUUUCUGUAACUAUCCAAUCACUGAACAUCACUUUCAAUUCCUUAUUUGCAUAUGUGGACCUGAGUGAAAACUAUCUACAGUAUCCCCCUGCUGGCCCAGGGUGAGAACUUCAGUACAUAACAAAGAUAUAUUAAGAAAAAGUUUAAUAAUGAUAAAAGUGUGUACUGGCAAUAAAUUAUAUAAAAUUGAAAUAUGGAAUAGACGGGAGGUUGGGUCUUUAGUGUUAAGACCAAUUUAUGUCUUAUUGUUUGUUAAGAAAAUUCAGUAUUUAUUGUUGUUCUUGUGUGUAAUUUGGUAUUUGUGUUUUCUCUUUUUUCUUUUCUUGUUGUCUCAAUAAUAAUAAAAAGCUGUCCCUAUGAGAUUUGGCCAAGUGGGGUAAGGUAGGCCCAUAAGGGGCAGACAGGAACCACUCCAAAUCUGUGAGCAGCUUCCCUCCCCAAAAAAACUCUGCCCCAGCCCACCAACCUGGCAGUUCCUUCCGGAACCAGUAAAUUGUGUAUUUGCGUAAAAAGGUCCCCCCACUCCCAGAGGUUGAGGGGUGUGUGUGUUGUAAAACCAAGUCCUGAUUCCACCCCAAAAAGGCACAUGCUGUGUUAGUAGGCCCCCUUUCUCCCGCCACCCCAAAAGGAUGGCUCUACAUGCGAACACCCCUUCCUGCAAUGCUAGUGUCCCCAUCCACAUUUCACAUCUGCGGGAAAACGGAUGCUCUAGUUGAGAUUCCUGCAUUGCAGGGGGUUGGACUAAUAAUAAUAAUAAUAAUAAUAAUAAUAAUAAUUUUUAUUUAUACCCCGCCCUCCCCAGCCAAGACCGGGCUCAGGGCGGCUAACAACCAAUAAUAAAAACAAGUUGAUUAAAAUACAAUUUUAAAAACAAGAUUAAAAUACAACAUUAAAACAUUAGGAUGCAGCCUCUUCACAGGGACGCGGGUGGCGCUGUGGGUAAAAGCCUUAGCGCCUAGGGCUUGCCGAUCGAAAGGUCGGCGGUUCGAAUCCCCGCGGCGGGGUGCGCUCCCGUUGUUCGGUCCCAGCGCCUGCCAACCUAGCAGUUCGAAAGCACCCCCGGGUGCAAGUAGAUAAAUAGGGACCGCUUUCUAGCGGGAAGGUAAACGGCGUUUCCGUGUGCGGCUCUGGCUCGCCAGAUGCAGCUUGUCACGCUGGCCACAUGACCCGGAAGUGUCUGCGGACAGCACUGGCUCCCGGCCUAUAGAGUGAGAUGAGCGCACAACCCUAGAGUCUGGGAAGACUGGCCCGUACGGGCAGGGGUACCUUUACCUUUACCUUUACUCUUCACAGGAGGAGAAAGGAAAAAGAAAGAGGGGGAGGGAAUCAAACUGAUUCUAAGCCAAAGGCCAGGCGGAACAACUCUGUCUUACAGGCCCUGCCAAAAGAAAUCAGAUCCUGCAGGGCCCUGGUCUCAUGCGGCAGAGCGUUCCACCAGGCCGGAGCCAGUGUUGAGAAGGCCCUGGCUCUGGUUGAGGCUAAUCUAACUUCCUUAGGGCCCAAGACCUCUAGGGUGUUGCUAUUUAUGGACCUUAAGGUCCUCCAUGGGGCAUACCAGGAGAGGCAGUCCCGUAGGUACAAGGGUCCCAGGCCGUGAAGGACUAGAUGACUCUAGGGGUCCCUUCCGACUCUACAAUUCUCUGCAAUGCUCUCAACAAUGUCCCACUGGAGCAUACAGUAAUGCAGAGCUAAGGAACCUUUUUCGGCCCAAGCGCCUCAUUCUCUUGUAAACAACCUUCUGGGGGCCAGGUGACAGCGUGAGCCUGGGCCAAAGUCAAAAACAGAUGGAGCCAAGAAUGCAGGUUUUGCCUUUGCUGGGCCCUAAUAAUAAUACUAAUAAUACUAAUAAUAAUAUGCUUUUGAAUUCUGGUGCUGGAGGAG
Molecule: long non-coding RNA, 3547 nt
Filed under: Podarcis muralis (Common wall lizard)
Lineage: Eukaryota; Metazoa; Chordata; Lepidosauria; Squamata; Lacertidae
Description: lncRNA (ENSPMRG00000001330.1)
Source: RNAcentral